RNAcentral lists this ribosomal RNA (643 nucleotides) under Methanosarcina sp. enrichment culture clone H07. Its description in RNAcentral is "bacterial SSU rRNA". It matches the Rfam family "Archaeal small subunit ribosomal RNA", at positions 107 to 748 of the family's 1478-position model. Lineage: Archaea; Methanobacteriati; Methanobacteriota; Methanomicrobia; Methanosarcinales; Methanosarcinaceae. The record is from RNAcentral.
ACCUGCCCUUGGGUCCGGCAUAACCCCGGGAAACUGGGGAUAAUUCCGGAUAACGCACAUAUGCUGGAAUGCUUUAUGCGUCAAAUGGAUUCGUCUGCCCAAGGAUGGGUCUGCGGCCUAUCAGGUAGUAGUGGGUGUAAUGUACCUACUAGCCGACGACGGGUACGGGUUGUGAGAGCAAGAGCCCGGAGAUGGAUUCUGAGACAUGAAUCCAGGCCCUACGGGGCGCAGCAGGCGCGAAAACUUUACAAUGCGGGAAACCGUGAUAAGGGGACACCGAGUGCCAGCAUCAUAUGCUGGCUGUCCGGGUGUGUAAAAUACACCUGUUAGCAAGGGCCGGGCAAGACCGGUGCCAGCCGCCGCGGUAACACCGGGGGCCCGAGUGGUGAUCGUGAUUAUUGGGUCUAAAGGGUCCGUAGCCGGUUUGGUCAGUCCUCCGGGAAAUCUGACGGCUUAACCGUUAGGCUUUCGGAGGAUACUGCCAGGCUUGGAACCGGGAGAGGUAAGAGGUACUACAGGGGUAGGAGUGAAAUCUUGUAAUCCCUGUGGGACCACCUGUGGCGAAGGCGUCUUACCAGAACGGGUUCGACGGUGAGGGACGAAAGCUGGGGGCACGAACCGGAUUAGAUACCCGGGCAGUCCC